GUAGGGAAUAUUGGUCAAUGGACGAAAGUCUGAACCAGCCAUUCCGCGUGCAGGAAGAAGAUUCUAUGGAUUGUAAACUGCUUUUAGCAGAGAAGAAACGCCUUCAUUGAUGAGGGUUUGACGGUAUCUGCGGAAUAAGCACCGGCUAACUCCGUGCCAGCAGCCGCGGUAAUACGGGGGGUGCAAGCGUUAUCCGGAAUCACUGGGUUUAAAGGGUGCGUAGGCGGGAAAUUAAGUCAGUGGUGAAAGUCUGUUGCUUAACGAUAGAAUUGCCGUUGAUACUGAUUUUCUUGAAUUGGGUUGAGGUUAGCGGAAUGUGACAUGUAGCGGUGAAAUGCAUAGAUAUGUCAUGGAACACCAAUUGCGAAGGCAGCUAGCUGGGCCUUGAUUGACGCUGAGGCACGAAAGCGUGGGUAGCGAACAGGAUUAGAUACCCCUGUAGUCC
Molecule: ribosomal RNA, 445 nt
Filed under: uncultured bacterium
Lineage: Bacteria
Description: bacterial SSU rRNA
Rfam family: Bacterial small subunit ribosomal RNA
Source: RNAcentral